Molecule: ribosomal RNA, 484 nt
Filed under: uncultured bacterium
Lineage: Bacteria
Description: partial 16S ribosomal RNA
Rfam family: Bacterial small subunit ribosomal RNA
Source: RNAcentral
AUUGAACGCUGGCGGCAGGCCUAACACAUGCAAGUCGAGCGGAUGAAGGGAGCUUGCUCCUGGAUUCAGCGGCGGACGGGUGAGUAAUGCCUAGGAAUCUGCCUGGUAGUGGGGGAUAACGUCCGGAAACGGGCGCUAAUACCGCAUACGUCCUGAGGGAGAAAGUGGGGGAUCUUCGGACCUCACGCUAUCAGAUGAGCCUAGGUCAGAUUAGCUAGUUGGUGGGGUAAAGGCCUACCAAGGCGACGAUCCGUAACUGGUCUGAGAGGAUGAUCAGUCACACUGGAACUGAGACACGGUCCAGACUCCUACGGGAGGCAGCAGUGGGGAAUAUUGGACAAUGGGCGAAAGCCGGAUCCAGCCAUGCCGCGUGUGUGAAGAAGGUCUUCGGAUUGUAAAGCACUUUAAGUUGGGAGGAAGGGCAGUAAGUUAAUACCUUGCUGUUUUGACGUUACCAACAGAAUAAGCACCGGCUAACUUCGUG